UCGAGAAUUUUUCACAAUGGGCGCAAGCCUGAUGGAGCGACGCCGCGUGGGGGAUGAAGGGUCUCGAUCCGUAAACCCCUGUCAUUUGCGAACAAACCUUGAUUGUGAAUAGCGAUCGAGCUGAUUGUAGCGGAAGAGGAAGGGACGGCUAACUCUGUGCCAGCAGCCGCGGUAAUACAGAGGUCCCAAGCGUUGUUCGGAUUCACUGGGCGUAAAGGGUGCGUAGGUGGUCGGUGAAGUUCGGUGUGAAAGCUCGGAGCUCAACUCCGAAACGGCAUUGAAAACUCAUCGGCUGGAGGGUCGGAGGGGGGACUGGAAUUCUCGGUGUAGCAGUGAAAUGCGUAGAUAUCGGGAGGAACACCAGUGGCGAAGGCGAGUCUCUGGACGACUCCUGACACUGAGGCACGAAAGCCAGGGGAGCAAACAG
Molecule: ribosomal RNA, 427 nt
Filed under: uncultured bacterium
Lineage: Bacteria
Description: bacterial SSU rRNA
Rfam family: Bacterial small subunit ribosomal RNA
Source: RNAcentral